Neofelis nebulosa (Clouded leopard) is the source of this 7946-nucleotide long non-coding RNA. RefSeq lists it as uncharacterized. The record is from RefSeq and is a predicted model, not a curated record. Lineage: Eukaryota; Metazoa; Chordata; Mammalia; Carnivora; Felidae. The transcript has 2 exons.
UCCCAUUUUUUAAAAAUACAAAUAUCCGUGUGUGUGUCUGUGUGUGUACAUAUACACAUAAGGUGUUUCCCACCUCCUUAUAUAAAUGACAGCAUACUAUACAUAUUGGUCUUAACCUUACUUUUUGCCACUUAAUGAAAUACCCUAAAGAUGACUUCUUAGUAGCAUGGAGAUAUUCUUCAUUCCUUUUUAUAGCUAAAUAGUACUGUAUUAUUCUCAACCUGCUUGAUGAAUGCUAUUUGGAAACAUCUUGAUAGGCUAUUAAAAAGUAGAGUUGACCCUUGAACAACACAAGCUUGAACUACACAGCUCCACUUAUACACAAAUUUAUUUCUGUAAAUACAGUACAGUACUAUAAAUGUAUUUUCUCUUCCUUAAUAUUUUCUUAAUAACAUUUUCUUUUUUCUACCUUCCUUUAUUAUAAGAAUACACUAUAUAAUACAUAUAGCACACAAAAUAUGUGUUAAUCAACUCUUCACAUUAUCAUUAAGGCUUCUGGUCAACAGUAGGCUAUUAGUAAAGUUUGGGGGAAGUCAAAGACUCUACGCAAUUUUUGACUGCAUGAGGGGGUGCAUGUCAGUGCUCCUAACCCUCACAUCAAUCUUUCAGUAACUUCUCUAGAAAUGUACAAAUCCAAAAGGAAACCAAACCACCCCUAAUUCAUGUUUAAACAUAACUGAGAGUCAAGAAUACCACAGAUUUUAAUUACAUUUUCAGAUAUAAAGAUCUGAAACCAUUAGAGCUAAUACCUGACUCAUACCAGAAUGAAUAGUUUUAUGUAGUUAGAAAUUGCAUUUAAAAGGGGGAGGGCAGUGGAGGCCUAACACAGUCAAAAUCACCUCCAGGAAAAUAUAGGCCCAUUUAGAGUGGGAAAUACUGAGAACAGAGCUAAGACCUACUUCCCUACUGGGGAAUCCAAAGGAAGCCAGUGGUUCGAAAGUCUGGAUUGAGGGACUAGAGAUAGCACUCUUGAGAAGACAUCUACCUUUGGGGGAAGGUAGACAUAUUGAAGGAAAAGCAGGGCAUUGUAAUUGAGAAUUAUACAGAAACAGAAGAGAAUCAUAAAGCCAAAAGACACAUCAGACACUUCCCAUCCCAACAGCCUCAUCUACUAAAGAAACUGCAUUUCAUUAGGUCAACAGAAAAUUCAUAACCCGAGAUCCCUGCCAAAAUAGAACCUCCUGUUUUUGCUGGUCCAGGAAAAUAUCAGACAUUUCAAAUGAUUAGGAAAUAGCAGUCGACACCUAUAAAAAGCUUCUAUCUGACAAAAAGCAAAGAUGAGGCUAAAACCAUUUUAACUGUUAAAAAUUCUGCCAAAAUCAGUGACUAACCAGAAGAAAACUAUUGCACAACAACCCAACUUGAAUUAAACAAGUAUUGACAGAUAUGAAAAAAAUACCAUGAAUCAUAAAUUUUAAAAGUCAGACUAGAAAUGCGCAAUAGACAGGAAGAUGUAAAAAUGGAAUUGUCCAAACUCAAGAAAAAAAUUGAAGAAAGACAAAAUAAUCUCAAUUGACUCAAUUCCAGGGUGCCCAAUGGACACAGGUUUAACUGAAAAUGUAAUAAGGGACAUUGAGAAGAGAAAUAAAAACAGCCAAGAGAAUAAAAAUAAGUAUUAGAAAAGGUUAAAAAGUAUCAGAAAGGAACUGUUGGAUAUAGAACAUAGUCAACAAAGAUUCAAUGUGUAUGUGUAAAUGUAUGUAUGCAUGUGUUAUUGGAGUGUCUGAAGAAGAUAAACAAAGCAAUGAACCAGAAUUAAUACUUAAAUUUUUCAAAAAUUAAAACCCAAACUUCUGUUUUGAAAGGGCCUACCUUAUUCCUGGAAAAAUUGAUUCAGAUUGGUUACUCUAAGAUCUAUUCUAGUAAAACUAUUACAUUCUAAGAAUAAAGAAAAAUUUCCUCUAAGCCUCCAGAAAAAAGGCCAAAUUAUUUACAAGGGAAAGAAAGUCAAGUUUGCAUCAUCCUUUGCUAUAGCAAAGUAUAAAGCAAGACAAAGUAGAGUGGUGUUUUUAAGAAAUUCAAGGAAAGAAAAUAAGAUCUUGGGGUUUUAUAUCUAUACAAGCUGUUUUUUGGGUACUGAGAUUAUACUGAAAUGUGUUCAGCAUGCAGGAGCUUAGGAAAUGCUAUAACCCAAGCCCUACCGGAGGAAUGAGUUACAUACAGAAAGAGCUUCAUCCAAACAAGGAAUGAUCAAUCUAAGACAAAAACAAAGGUGGAGACGGGGUAGAACAGUAUGGUAUCAGUCUGGGUCCAAUGAAAAGAGAGAACCCACACAGUAAUUUGAACACAGAAAGUUUAAUAUAAUUAUUAACUGUAACACAGGCUUGGGGUAUUGGUGUGUUUGGCUAGUCAAAAGGAAAGAGAACUCUAAUGAAUAUAAGAGCAGACGUAAGGGCAGGCCACUACACUGGAGCUGAGAUAGAGGGCCCAAGGAGGAGCCUCCCCUCUCCCAUCCUCAGGGCUGAGAUGUAGACCUUGUUGGAGGGGACGCAGCUGUGGCUCACUGUACGAGAGAAGUCACUGUGGUGCCACAGCAGUGGACUUUGCUAGAAAUUUGCCUUCAGGGGUGCCUCUGGGGAAAGCUGUUCAUGGAGAGAUGUCUCUCUGGAGUGCUAUAAAGCCAUUUAAGUGGAGCAAGGUGGUGGUGGUCGUGGUGCUGGCUACUGAUAUUACUGGCUGUCGUGAACUGCAGAAUAUGGUCAAGAGAGAAGGUGGGAUUGCUGCAGGAGCCCACCAAGCAUUCACACCGGAAGCAGGAAGCAAACCUCCUCCCUCCUGUAAUAUCCUUAGAUGGGAUCAAAGGAUAUCACCUAAAACUGAUACACCAAAUAGAAGCCUAAAUGAGGAAAAGGUAGAUUAAGGAUACUAUAAAAUAUGUUAGUAUAAAGGUAACUACUAAAAUAAAAUUCCAAAACUUGCUUAAUAACAAAGGAGCAAAAAGAUCAAGAAACAGACCACACAGAGAAGGAGAUGAACUAAAUAUGGAAAGCACAGUAAAUAAAACCUAAUGUGACAGGGUUGAAACCAAAUGUGUGAUUUAUAUCAAUAAAUAUAAAUAGUUUUAACUGACCUAUUCAAAGGAAAAAAAUUCAGAUUGGUACUCAGAGUCAAACCCAGCUUUAUACUGUGUACAGGAAACAUACCUAAAGUCAAAUAAAUGAAAAAGACUAAAAAUAAAAGGAUGGUUAAGGGUAUGAAAAGGAAAGUCAAACAAUACAAUAACAGAUACUACAAUUCUGAUAUUAGACAAGGCAGAAUUCAGACCAAGAGGGGCGCCUGGGUGGCUCAGUCAGUUGAGUGUCCAGCUUUGGCCGAGGUCAUGAUUUCACAGUUCGUAAGUUUGAGCCCCGCAUCGGACUCACUGAUGUCAGCACAGCCUGUUUGGGAUCCUCUGUCCACCCGCCCCCCCCCCCCGCCCCUCCCCCACUCAUGCUUGCACUCUCUGUCUCUCUCUUUCUCUCUUUCUCACACAAAAAUAAAUUAAAAAACAAAACAAAACAAAAAAAGAAUUCAGACCAGGAUGCAUUCAACAAGACAAAAGAAGCCACUUUAUAAUGCUUAAUGGUGAUACAAUUCACAAUGAAAAUGUAAUAAUUAAAAAUAUUUUGGAACCAAAUUACAAAGAAUGUGUCUUCGUAAAAUGGAAAUGAUUGUAGGUGCAAAGAGAUAGAGACAAACACACUGAUAGAUUUAACACACCUCUCAAGGCAAGGCAGGCCAAGAGGACAAAAGUUAAAGGUAUUGAAGUCUUUAAUGAAUAAGGUAGAUCACGUAUGUGUACACAUAUCACACUCUGUUUCCUGGUGAAUAUCCUUCUACAUUGAAAUCUAAAACUCUAAACAACUCUUGUUUGAAAAGGGAAAUAUAAACCAAAAUUGCAAAACUCCUAAAAAAUAAUUAAUAAACACGUAUCGGAAUUUUGAGAUCAGUUAAAGCAAUGGUUGAAAGAAAACUGAUAGAUUUAAAUACUUGACAUCAAUAAAAAUGGAAGGAUAAAAAUUAAGGAUUUAAAUUCCCAAUUCAAAAAGCUAGAGAAAGAGUCACGACACAAAGAAAACAAAAAGGAAAAAGAAAAAAGAAAGGUAAAAGCAAAAGUUAAUGAGGUGGAAAAUAGAAAAGCAAUAAAUCAAAAUGCCGGUCCUUUGGGAGGAUAAUACACAAGAUACACAAACUAAGUAGUUAGCCUACUAAAGAAAAGGAAUAAGCACAGAUACACAAAAGUAGAGAUGACCAAGGGGGGAAAUAACUCUGUGUAAAUAAAUUAGAAAAGUGAGGUGAAGUAGGAAAAUACUAUUUGUCAAAUCUGAACCCAAUAGCAUUACAAUAUUUAAACAGGUAUGUAGAAAACAUAUGAAAAUUUUCAAAGAACUACACCUGCAGCAGAGCACUUAAGUGCAGAUUAUUCUACAGGGGAGUCCUACAAAACUUUAAAGACCAGAUUAUCUACUACUUAAAUUGCUAGAGGUCAGUGAUACCCAACAGAACUUCUGUGACGAUGGAAAUGUUUUAUAUCUAUGCUGUCUAGCCACAUAUGACUACUGCAACUAAAGAUUUUUAAUUUUGUGUAAUUGUAAUUUAAAGUUAAAAGGCCUUAUGUGGCUGGUGACUGUCUACUGGACAGUUCAGCUCCAUACAUAUCAUAGAAAAAUAGGAAAACAUACAGAUUUCUUUUUAUGAAGUAGGUAGAAUUUUGAUACCUAAGCCUGAUUUAAACACACACACACACACACACACACACACAUACAGUUUCAUGUAUGAAUUUUGUUACAAAAAUUCUAAGUAAAAUAUGAGAAAUGAGAAUUCAACACAUUUAAAACAAUAAUUUAUCAAAGCAAAUUAGUGGGGUUUUUUUCUGGAAUAAAAAGGUUUAACUUUAGAAAAAUCAUUAAUGAAAUUCACCAUAUUAAGAUCGUUAUAACAGGGAUGCUUGGGUGGCUCAGUCAGUUAAGUAUUUGAGUCUUGAUUACAGUUCAGGUCAUGAUCUCACAGUUCAUGAGAUUGAGCCCCAGUUGGGCUCUGGGCUGACAGCAAGGAGCCUACUUGGGAUUCAUAUUCCCUCUCCCUCUCCCUCUCCCUCUCCCUCUCCCUCUCCCUCUCCCUCUCUCCCCCCUUCCUCCUGGCUCAUGCUCUCAUGUACUCUUUCUCUCUCAAAAUAAAUAAACUUAAAAAAAAACAAAAACAAAAAAAGAUAGCUAUAAGGAAGAAAGUCGUCUGACCUUUGACGAAAAUUAGCACACUACUAAAGACUCAACAUUUCCUGAUUUCAAAACUUAUUACAAAGCAACAAUACUCAAGACAUGUAGUACUGGCAUAAAGAUAUACUUAUAGGGGCGCCUGGGUGGCUCAGUCAGUUAAGUGUCCAACUUCAGUGCAGGUCAUGAUCUCACAGUCCAUGAGUUCGAGCCCCGCAUCGGGCUCUGUGCUAACAGCUCAGAGCCUGGAGCCUGCUUCGGAUUCUGCGUCUCCCUCUCUCUCUGCCCCUCCCCUGCUCACACUCUGUCUCUCUCUGUCUUUCAAUAAUAAAUAAACGUUUAAAAAAAAUUUUUUUAAGUUAAAAAUAGAAUUACCAUAUGAUUCAGCAUUUCCACUUCUGCGUGUAUAGGCAAAACAAAAGUAGGGAUUCAAGCAGAUAUUAGUAUACCUAUGUUUAGCAGCAUUAUUCACAAUAGCUAAAAGGUCGAAGCAACCGAAGUGUCUAUCCGUGGAAGAAUGGGUCAACAAAAUGUGGUAUAUGCAUACAACAGAAUAUUACUGAACCUUAAAAAGGAAGGAGAUUCUAACCCGUGCGACAAUGUAGAUGAAUCUUGAAGACAUUAUGCUAAGUGAAAUAAGCCAGUCGCAAGAGGACAAACACUGUAUGAUCCCACUUAUAGGAGAUACAUAAUACAGGCAAAUUUAUAGAGACAGAAAACAGAAUGGUGGUUGUUAGGAGCUGGUGAGGAGGGAGGAAUGCAAAUUACUGUUUAAUGGGUACAGAGUUCACUUGGGGAAGAUGAAAAAGUUCUGGAGAUGGAUGGUGGUGAUGGUUGCACAACAAUGUGAAUGUACUUAAUACCACUUACUUUUGAGAAAGAGAAGGGGAAAUAUGUAUACACACACACAUUUUAUAAUAUACAUGAAAUGACAUAUUUUAUAUACUUAUUUUUAUGAGAAGAAACACAGGAAUGUUAAACCAGAAAAUAAGGAAAAGUUCACCUAUUGGGAGUAUCUAGGAAUAGUGUGGAAAGUAUAGCAAUGAGAGUGAGACUUCUCUGAGAAUACUCUUUUAUAUUCUCUUGACUUUUGCAUUAUGUAAAUGUUUUACUUUAAAAAUAAAACUAAACCAGAGAAAAGAACAAAUCAUAUUCUGAAAUUGAUUACAAACAGAAACAAACUGAACUAUGUAUCAAAUGGAUAUCAUAACAUUGGGACACACUUCAAAGAAAAAAUGGAGCUUCAAAUAAAUCCUGAUGUUUUAUUAACAAUGUUAGUAGUUUUACCUUAAUCUGAAGCUAUUUUGCCUGUAUUGAGGAUAGGGCAAGUGAGUAAAGAAGAUACAAAUGUAGGAUGGGGGAAGAUGAAGAAGAACCCUGUAGUAUAGGAUUUGAAUUGGAGGUAUCUAUUAUGAACUCUUAACUUUAAAACGUGUAUAUAAUUAUAUAUACAUAUAUAUAUAUAUAUAUAUAUAUAUAUAUAUAUAUGUAUAUAUAUUUGUAUUAUAAUGAUGUAAGUUCUGUUCAUUGAAAAGGCCUAAAAGUAAUGACACCUCAGUAGCAAUGUGGUUUCUAACUCCCAUUCUCCACUAAAAGGAAUCCUGGCUCCUUGGAGAAAUGACUGAUUCCAGGGCUGAGCAGAAGAGAAAAUGUAAGGUGAAUUUGGAACAUUCUAUUAUGCCAGAAAGAAAAGAAGGCUUAAAGAACAGAAACAUAUCAGAAGGACACAGGAGCCAGCUUGAAGGGGCUCUGAUCAGCCAAAACUGGAACAAUAAGAGUAACAAACAGAAUAAUGAAAACAAGAGAACAAUGGUAUUGGCAUCCAUAGGUCCCUAGUGAUACACAUAAAAAACUUUAGAGUUGCAGGGAAAGGUCUAAUUGCAGAAUGUCAGCUAAUAAGUAUAGAGAGAAUGAUAGAAAAUUACCAUUUUGCAACCACCAUUUUAAUUGAUUCAGGCAAGGAUAAUCAGUGAGUGCUAAAACCACAGGGUAAAAAAGCUUAUUGGAGAAUAGGGUAUUCACAUAGUCUCAGUGUUUCCUAUUAAUUACAAAGGGAAAUUAUAAUGGAGAAGUCUGCCAGUCACUCCUUAACAAGUGAUCAAAUUCAGUAUCAUCGAUAAUUAGAUAAACCACAUUAUGUGCUUCUUAAAGUAAUGAAGUGAGAAGUACUCAACAUCACUUGUAUUUUUGUCAGAACUGUUUAGCAUGAAUGUAAUCAUAAGGAAACAAUCAGGAAAAAAAAUCCAAAUUGUGGGAUAUUCUAUUAAACAGCUAGCCCACAGUCUUCAAAAAUAUCAGUUUCAUGAAAAACCAGCAAAAGACAACAGGGUUGGUCUAGAUUAAAGGAGGCUAAAGAAACAGGACAACCAAAUACAAUAUGUAAUUCUCGUUCAGCUCCUGUACUUAAAAAAUUCAACUGCUAUAAAGGACAUUUGGGGGACAGUUGAGGAUAUUUUAAGUUAAAUUUCUUGGGAAUGACAGUAUUGCAGUUUUAAAGGAGAACGUCCUUGUUCUGAGGACAAAUGUACUGAUGUAUAUUUAGGGGUGAAGUGUCACUAUGUUUCUGACUUUCUCAUAGUUCAGAGGAAAAAGUGUGUGUAGAUAGAUGGAAAGCAAAUAUGGUGAAAUGUUAUUAGUUGUUGAAUCUGGGUGAAGGAUACAUAGUUGUUCAUGUACUGUUUUUGCUACUUUUCUCUAGGUUUAAGAUUUUUCAAAAUAAAGUUUAAAUAAAUUAUGUACAUAAUUAUACAUAUA